This 253-nucleotide ribosomal RNA is filed under the name uncultured bacterium. Its description in RNAcentral is "partial 16S ribosomal RNA". It matches the Rfam family "Bacterial small subunit ribosomal RNA", at positions 524 to 776 of the family's 1533-position model. The record is from RNAcentral.
UACGUAGGGACCAAGCGUUGUUCGGAUUUACUGGGCGUAAAGGGCGCGUAGGCGGCAAUUCAAGUCAGCUGUGAAAUCUCCGGGCUUAACUCGGAACGGUCAGCUGAUACUGCUUUGCUAGAGUGCAGAAGGGGCAAUCGGAAUUCUUGGUGUAGCGGUGAAAUGCAUAGAUAUCAAGAGGAACACCUGAGGUGAAGACGGGUUGCUGGGCUGACACUGACGCUGAGGCGCGAAAGCUAGGGUAGCAAACGGG